GAAAGGAGGGAGAACUGAAGGACAACUGACUAUUCAUUUGGUUCCUAAUAAGAUGAAAAGGAUAAAAUUGGGAAAAAGAGAUUUCAAGAUACCAGUGAUGGAAGUGAAAAGGAGGAAGAAAGGGAUAAGGAAAAUAAAAACAAGCUAGAAGAAAAAAAACAAGUGUCACAGUGGAUUUCUGAUGUUAUCUUUUCCAUAAAUCCUAAUAACCGCUAAUCAGUGGUGAGAAGACAAGAGCGAGAAUCCCCAGGACAUACUGAAACAUGCAGAGGAAUGAUCUCAUUGCCUCCACCCAAAGGAAAAUCUGCCUCCCCAUCUGCGUGCUCGCAGCAAACUUCUGCUGUCACAACAUCUGCCCAAUCAUUAUUAUAGGAUCCAUUUAAUAUAUUCUAAAGGAGCCAUAGCCACCACUGUGCCUAGAUGGGAUACCAAUAAGGC
Molecule: long non-coding RNA, 438 nt
Filed under: Coturnix japonica (Japanese quail)
Lineage: Eukaryota; Metazoa; Chordata; Aves; Galliformes; Phasianidae
Description: lncRNA (ENSCJPG00005006797.1)
Source: RNAcentral